GGUGGAACUUACACAUGAGUCUUUUAGCUAACUGAAGGUUUUCUCUGAAACUGUUGCUGUACUGCCACGUUUUUGUCUGUUACCAUACCAGAGCAAACAGUAUAAUGGUAUGUGGCCACCUGGAACUAAAGAGUUCAAGAGUGACAAUAAG
RNAcentral lists this long non-coding RNA (151 nucleotides) under Amphimedon queenslandica. Its description in RNAcentral is "uncharacterized LOC109587463". The record is from RNAcentral. Lineage: Eukaryota; Metazoa; Porifera; Demospongiae; Haplosclerida; Niphatidae.